UAUUGGUCAAUGGGCGGGAGCCUGAACCAGCCAUGCCGCGUGCAGGAGGACUGCCCUAUGGGUUGUAAACUGCUUUUGCGAGGGAACAAACGGCGGUACGCGUACCGUUUUGAGUGUACCUUGAGAAUAAGGAUCGGCUAACUCCGUGCCAGCAGCCGCGGUAAUACGGAGGAUCCGAGCGUUAUCCGGAUUUAUUGGGUUUAAAGGGUGCGUAGGCGGCGUGCUAAGUCAGGGGUGAAAGACGGUGGCUCAACCAUCGCAGUGCCUUUGAUACUGGUGCGCUUGAAUGCGGAUGAGGUAGGCGGAAUGUGGCAAGUAGCGGUGAAAUGCAUAGAUAUGCCACAGAACACCGAUUGCGAAGGCAGCUUACCAAGGCGCGAUUGACGCUGAUGCACGAAAGCGUGGGGAUCGAACAGG
This 417-nucleotide ribosomal RNA is filed under the name uncultured bacterium. Its description in RNAcentral is "bacterial SSU rRNA". It matches the Rfam family "Bacterial small subunit ribosomal RNA", at positions 362 to 776 of the family's 1533-position model. The record is from RNAcentral.